CUAGUAAUCGCGGAUCAGCAACGCCGCGGUGAAUGCGUUCCCGGGCCUUGUACACACCGCCCGUCAAGUCAUGAAAGUGGGCAGCACCCGAAGACGGUGGCCUAACCCUUGUGGGGGAGCCGUCUAAGGUGAGGCUCGUGAUUGGGACUAAGUCGUAACAAGGUACC
Molecule: ribosomal RNA, 167 nt
Filed under: uncultured bacterium
Lineage: Bacteria
Description: partial 16S ribosomal RNA
Rfam family: Bacterial small subunit ribosomal RNA
Source: RNAcentral